CAAUGGGAUUGGAUCAAAGCCUCACAACUAUUAUCGGUCAGAACUUGAAUCCAGGCCAGUUUUGGCUUCUAAUCUAGCACUCUCCUGGAGGCCACAUGAAAGGAAGCGACGGCCUCUCCUGCAGCUGAGGUUUACAGACUUUUGACACCAAACCCAGCUGGAAUCUUCAAACUUAACACAGUCAAGGGACUUGAGAACGGUGGUGGAUCCCGUACCGGCUGUGUGAUAACAGUCAGAGAGCAGACAAUCCCCAGCUGUGAGGAAGGAAGUGGUCCCUGCGUGUCUCAUGCCCAGAAUGCCCUGGUCCUUGUCAGACACAUCCGGAUCUCGUCUGCUGUACAGUAUACAAAACUCAAUGAUAAACAACGGAGACCUAGGAGGAACUCAGUGGCCCAGGUUGCCUUCAUCCAAUGCCAUCAUGAGACGGCCCAGAGAGGUGAGACCUCAGCAUUCCUCUGCAGUCUGUAAUGGCAAGACGUGCUCAAUCUCCACUGAUUGGGAUCCUAAUGAAGUGAACCCUGAGGCCCCAAACAGGGGUCUAGUCUGAGACUCCUUCCGGAGGUGCCAGGCCAGGAUGGGGAUGGUGGGAGGAAGCGGUGCCCAGCACUGAUAAGCCACUCCCUUCCUCUGUCCCAGACACUUUUCAAUGUCUGCUAUGUCUAUGCACUGGGAAUCCUCAAGGGGAAGACAGAGAAGAGACAGGCAGGGUGGAGGGGCUGCUUCCUGGUGCCUGGGAGCCUCUUUAACCUUCCCCACCUUUCUUCACUUCCUCUCACCGGGGAACUAUCAACACCUUGUAAAGAAACCUCAGCUAUAUAAAUACAAAAUGUAUAUGCAAUAUAUGUGCACAUAUAAAAUAUAUGCACAUGCAUCCAGUAGCUGAGUUAUUGUAUUUUCUCCGUUGGUGUACAGUCUGAUCUGUCUUUCCUUGUGGUCACAGUACUGUACUUAUCCUUCCUUGCUGAUGGGCAUUCAGGUUGCUCCUGAGCUUUUGAUACUGCAAACAAGACCAUCUAGACUCUGGGCGCAUGUGUAAAUGUUUCUUGAGGAUUCAUUCCUAGAAAAGAGAUUGCUGGCUCAAAAUGUCUAUGAAUUUUUCAUUUUGAAAGAUUGUGCCAAGUU
This is a long non-coding RNA of Alexandromys fortis (reed vole), 1122 nucleotides long. RefSeq lists it as uncharacterized. The record is from RefSeq and is a predicted model, not a curated record. Lineage: Eukaryota; Metazoa; Chordata; Mammalia; Rodentia; Cricetidae. The transcript is spliced from 3 exons.